GUGGGCGUAGCUCAGUUGGUAGAGCCCCGGAUUGUGAUUCCGGUUGUCGUGGGUUCGAGUCCCAUCGUCCACC
Molecule: transfer RNA, 73 nt
Filed under: Plasticicumulans acidivorans
Lineage: Bacteria; Pseudomonadati; Pseudomonadota; Gammaproteobacteria; Candidatus Competibacteraceae
Description: gamma proteobacterium TUD-JY37 tRNA
Rfam family: tRNA
About the family: Transfer RNA (tRNA) molecules are approximately 80 nucleotides in length.
Source: Rfam by way of RNAcentral